Molecule: ribosomal RNA, 301 nt
Filed under: uncultured bacterium
Lineage: Bacteria
Description: partial 16S ribosomal RNA
Rfam family: Bacterial small subunit ribosomal RNA
Source: RNAcentral
CAGCAGCCGCGGUAAUACGAAGGGGGCUAGCGUUGUUCGGAUUUACUGGGCGUAAAGCGCACGUAGGCGGACUUUUAAGUCAGGGGUGAAAUCCCGGGGCUCGACCCCGGAACUGCCUUUGAUACUGGGAGUCUUGAGUUCGAGAGAGGUGAGUGGAAUUGCGAGUGUAGAGGUGAAAUUCGUAGAUAUUCGCAGGAACACCAGUGGCGAAGGCGGCUCACUGGCUCGAUACUGACGCUGAGGUGCGAAAGCGUGGGAAGCAAACAGGAUUAGAUACCCCCGUAGUCCCUGUCUCUUAUAC